CUGCAAUCAAUGAAUAUGCAUUGUGAUGACCCAUUUCCUUUCACAUUGGAUAUGAACAAAAAUUCUUUUGUUAAGAUAAGGAGCCUUUUGUCUGUUUCCUAAACCACCCAUAAUUGAUAACUGCUUCAGCAAAAGGUCAAGAAUCUUUGCAAUUUAGACAUCACUGCUUUAUGUAGGUGGCCCAUGGCUAGUCUCUAGACAUUGG
Molecule: unclassified non-coding RNA, 205 nt
Filed under: Hevea brasiliensis (rubber tree)
Lineage: Eukaryota; Viridiplantae; Streptophyta; Magnoliopsida; Malpighiales; Euphorbiaceae
Source: RNAcentral